UCUGUCAACAAUCGAACCUACCGAGAGCAAGAAGACGCAGCUGAGAAAACUAACGCGAAAAUGGCGGUGGAAGAGGAACGAAAAUCGUCGACGCCAACUACAGAAGAAACACCGAAUCCAAACUCUAAACCUAGGGCAAGACGAUGUUAACGAUGAUGCGCUGGAAGAAGGAGAGAUUGUCGGAGAUGAGGAAUCAUCGGCCAAGAAACCAAGCGCUGUAAGUUAACAGCCGCACCUUCUCGAGUUCCAAUGGACGUUCUGGUUCGAUAACCCUUUAGCUAAGGCCAAGCAAUCACCUGAGGAUAUUCUAUGCGUUCUGUCUAUACUUUUGCUGCUGUCGAGGAGUUUUGGAGGUCUUCUUCUCUUCUUUCAUUGCUCUUCUUUUGGUUUAAUUUUGCUUCUAUUUCUGGAUUCCUUUAUUUUUUGCUUGGUUGAUGAUAAAAUUGAUGGAAGGAAAGGAGAGGGAAUUGAGAUUCCAAGGUUUUGGUUUAUUCAUUGAGGAAAUAGAGGUCUGAUGAACGUACUUUCUCGUAAGGGAAGUUAUGGAACGCCUUUGAGACAAAGAAUGAGCAAUCGUGUUUAUGUGGAAAAUUGUAGUUUCAGUUCAUUGCGAAAUUGCAAAAUUGCGGAAUCAGAAAUGAUUUAGAGGUGUUAGAAAUGCUAUCUUGAUUUUCUUGCGUAAUCAAUGAUAGAUAUUUGCUAUUAGUGCAUUGUGACCUCAUUAAGAAAUAAUUGUCUCCAAAUCUAUAUUUUCUUUGCCAUCUGCUUGUUAUUAAAUCAGAUGCUUCCUUUUGUUUCUAUUGGAUUAUCUGACAACAAUUAGAGAUUCUUUUUCUUUAAGGGGCAAAUUUAGUUAGGUAUUUGUUAAAAUGAAUGAAAAUUUCUCUUGUGAUGUAGUAUUCUUCCAGACUGAUGGGUGUUAAGUGAUGCCUAGAAGUAAACAAUAUUUUAUUGGGAGUUUUUAAUUUUGGAUUUGUGAAAAUGUAGUUCUUGAAUUGCCCAAGCGGCGUGACCAUUAACUUGUACUUUAAAUUGCUGGAUAUUGUUUGUAUCCAAUUUUAAGCAUACGCCUUCAUGUCUGUAUGUUUCAUGGAAUAAUUGGACGUGGAAAUUUAGGCAAUUGGACAGAUUUUUUAAUUAUACAAUCAAAUGUUCAUUGAGGACUAGGAAUCUAAACAUGGAUAAUUCUUUUCAAUUCGGAUCUUUGUUCUUAUCAUGAUCAUUCCCUUUCCCCUUCGGGACGAAGGGUAUAUUAUAUAUAUGUACUCCCUGCAAAGAGCAAUUUUAUAUCUGCAUAAUUGUACUCAUGCAUAUAAAAUUCAAAAAUUUAGAUGAAUUCAUGGGACUAAAAUCUUUUCAUUGUAUUUGGCCUCUCUGUUAUCAUAAAGUUAUGAUUGUUCUUUGAAAACCACUUUAAUAUUUCAUAUGAAGACAGAAAUAUGAAUAUCUUUUAGGCGUUUUUUUUUCUUAAGUAAUUUACCUUAUUGUGACAUACAUGCAACUGAACUGGAAUCUAAUAAACUGCCGAGGAGUUUUUGUUCAUCCUAGGAAUGAUAUGCCAUUUAGGUAAUAGAAUGAGUUUCUAGCAACUCCAUUCUUAGCAAGUAGGACACUUGCUGGAAUUUGUAUUUUGCAUUCGAGUUGUGCAAUGUUCACAGAAACAGUGAAGUAUUCUAAGGUCUUUGCAAUCUACUUUGUGUCUCUUGCUCAUUACAUCUAUGAUCCUCGUCCACAGAGUGAAAAAAGUAACUAUCAUUCUGGACUAAUGAACCCUUUAUAGGCAUGUUUACUCAGGAAAAAAAGUUCACAUUUUAACCAUUAACUUCCUCAUUUACCUGUCCUGAUAUAGAAAUCACUCUGACAGUGAAAUUAUGCUGUAUCCAUCGUAUUCAUCCUAGCAAGCUGGCUUUGGGGGCUGACUUUCAUUUUUUCAAGAAUAAAAUUGAGCCAAAGUGAGAGGAUCCUGUUUGUGCCAGUGGAGGGAAGUGGACUGUAACUUUUGGCCAAGGGAAAUCUGAUACCAAUUGGUUAUAUACGGGGUGUUUCUACAUUGUUGUGAGCUAUUAAAUAACACUGACUGCUAUACGAUGGAGCUUCUUAUUCUAUUUACAUUCUUUUAUUAGUUGCUGUCCAUGAUUGGAGAACAGUUUGAUCAUGGAGAUGAAAUCUGUGGAGCAGUUGUCAGUGUCAGAAUUAAGCACGAAAAGAUAGCUCUUUGGACCAAGAAUGCUUCAAAUGAAGCUGCUCUUCUGAGGAGAAAAAGAAUGAAUGCUUAUCAAAUUCAGUUUAGUUAUGUACUUGAAGGUGUUGUAUAUAGUGGAACUUCAUAUAGAACUGUCAAUUAUGUUGUUUGUUGUAAAUGUUAUUUGUAUUAGAAAUACUGGAUGCAUAAGAAUUAGGUUAUUAUAAAUAGGGCUUUUAAUAUCUCUCCUCGGCAGUGAAAAAGCAUGCGGUAGUUUGUGAAUGUAGGCACACUUGCCAAAUUACACAUUCUUUUGUUCAUUUUUCUCGCAAUUUUUCUAAACGGAAACUGUGCCUGACCAGAUUUAGCUCGAUAUUCUUAGUUCCUUGCCUGCAUUAAUUUCCACAAAACAAUUAAAAUCCAUCGGUGAGACUAUGACAAGUGCCAGUACAAUGCUUUCCAUAAUUCUUUUUUUCCUUCCUUUCUUUGCUAACUAAAAGCUAUGAUCAAGUUUAGAAAGUCAACGAUUUAACUAUUUUAUAUUCAUCCUAUAAAUACUGGUGUUAAUUACAAAGUCACCCUCACCCCCCCACCCUUUCCUACAAAAACAUACUCAUUUACAAAUAAUGUUUCUCUUUCCCCUCUCACUGCCAACCUUUUAACAGACAGGAAAAGAAAAAGGAAAAUAGAAGUUCUUAUUAAAGAUUCAAAUAUUCAUGGAAAUAUUUCUCCUUCCUCUUCGUCUCCAUUUACUACCAUCUCAUCCUCAUCCCAAAUAUCAUCCUUUAUGAACAAACCCAAUCGCUCCAGCGGGCUCCCAGUGUAAGCUGCUUCCAUCUCUCCGUUUGUCACCCGUUUACUGCCAAUGCGAAAAUGAUAGGAAAGGGAACCUCCACUAAGCUUCUCGAGUUCUUUCAGAAUCUCCAGGUUCUGCUCAAUAUCAGCAGUUUUUUCCAUCUUCUGCAAUGCAAUUCGAGCAGCUUCUCUUUCUUUCUCCCUUUGUUUUUUCAAUUCAAUUUCUUCCCUCAUUCGUGAGGCAGCUUCAGCGGCUCUGAUUUGAGCUUCAAUCCAAGCCUUCUCUUCACGCUGCCUCCUUUCCAACCUUUCCUUCUCCUGCUGCAUCUUCACAGGAUCAGCCUUAUCACCAUGAUCUAGAAGUGUCUUAUGCUGUGCUUUUAAGAUAGUAUCUGCAAAUCGAUACUUUAGCAUUGCAGCGCGAAGGGCCUUUGUUGGAGACAGUUGUACAUCACAAGUAGGUCUCCAUCCUUCUCGAGAAGUUGCGUCUGUUGCAGGAGUUAUGAGCUGUAAACUAGGGUAUGCAUUUUCAUCAUCCAAAGUACUUACAGCCCCUUUACAUAGAUCCCAACAGCAACCCAAAUGAUCAGGUCACCCAACUCUAAGCAGUGGAAUAUCAGAAAAGAACAAAGCAGAAGAUUCUCUCACCAUCAGAAUCUGGAUCUGACUUGCUCAUCUGUGAAGCUGACAUGCUUUUCCCAUGAUAAUCCAGUUUUGAGGCAUCAGUGCCACAUGCAGUAUCAUCUCUGCUCAAUGACCUCUCAGAAGAUAUAUCAGAGGAAGCAUGGGUUGAGUCACUGGGAAGGCAACAUUGAAAAGCACUUCUAACACUUGUAACACAUUCACUAACAACUGGGUUCGAUGGCUUGACACUGACAGGGCAACAAGCACAUUUGCCACCACUAGUGCCUUUGCAAGAAUUUAGCAGUAAUGCCUUGUGCAUGCAGUUUUCUGCAGGCUUAAAAAGCUUUACUUCUGCAGCUUUUGCAUUUGAAGAACUCCUCAUUGCCUUGUAUUCAGAUGGUUUUGACAUCUUGGGUAAAAGAACAUUGCGCAAACGGGAUGUUUCAGGACAAUUCUGUCUUGUGGCACUAAUUUCCUUUGGCUUCCUGCUCAAAAUUUUUCCACCACCAGACUCUGAUAUUUCAUGAUUCCAUUUUUCCUGUAGUGACUUCCACUUAGUCUCAAAAAUCUUAUUCAGUGACUCUGCCACUUGGUGGACAUAAUUUGUUGGAGGAUUAUAUAGCAUAGCAUUUGAGAAUGUCAGUCUGACAUCAGCAGCAAACUCUUCAGUUCCAGAAUACUGAUUCUUCUCCAGCUUAGAUUUUAUUGUGCCUAAAUCCAUAGGAUUUGAUAUAAUUGAAAAAUAGUCAGGAAUUUUCAGUGCCACUGGAUCCACUGGUUCCCUAAAAAUCCAACCAGAUGGAUUAUUUAUCAGAGAUUUUAGAAUGGAAAAACACUGAUGUGUGACACAGCGGCCCAUCUUCCGCUUCUUCUCUGGUCGGCCCUCUACUUCCCACAAUGGGCCACGCUUAUUAGCCCCAGGCACCACAGGUUUCAGCUUCGUAUUCUGCAUGUCACAUGCCUGAGAAUAAUAGUUCUUGUCCACAUUACGCCCAGACUCACAUUCCCUUAUCCCAGGAACAGCUUCUAUUCUUUUGGUAGAAAACUUUAUUUUCAACUUCUUUCCUACUACAGUUUCAGCAGCAAUCAUUCUGAAGAACUCUCCGAUAUAGAAUAAGAGACCGAAAAAACACUGGAUUGCUCGAUUAUAAUAACGCAAAGAGACGCAGAUAGAGAAAGGCUGAAGAUAGCAAUGCUACAGAGAGAUCAAAACGAGGGGAAAAGAGAGUAAAGUAAAGAAGAGAAAGGGUUUAAAGUAGAGCACAGAGAGUGAGGCCUAGGGUUUUGGACAACCCUAACUCCAGUACUCACACGACUGACUGGUGGUUUAUUACUGUAACAUCAGCAACCUCAAUAUUGCCGCGUUU
Molecule: unclassified non-coding RNA, 4968 nt
Filed under: Hevea brasiliensis (rubber tree)
Lineage: Eukaryota; Viridiplantae; Streptophyta; Magnoliopsida; Malpighiales; Euphorbiaceae
Source: RNAcentral